Molecule: long non-coding RNA, 493 nt
Organism: Helicoverpa armigera (cotton bollworm)
Lineage: Eukaryota; Metazoa; Arthropoda; Insecta; Lepidoptera; Noctuidae
Exons: 2
Source: RefSeq, a predicted model, not a curated record
UUAACAGUGAAAUUGGAAAUGGUAUUUUAAUUUAUUGAAAAAAAAGUACAUAGUAUAAUAGUGUAAUAAAAUAUAAUAGUAAAUUAAUUUGUUUUCAGACAAGGCCUUUGAUGACUUUCAAUCUAUAGAGAUACAGGAUAUGGAAGUGGAUCAAACUGAAAAAGAGAAUAAGUGGUCUUCAUGGAAGCCAAAGGCUUUAAAAACUAAGAUUAGUCCAUACUUGAAAAGUAAUCAAAAAAUUACUAAAGUUGGAGUGACUGCAAAACUGGACCAUUUAACUGAAUCUCGCUUAGAGCUAGUGAAGCUCCAGAAGGAAAUUGCCAUAAAAGAGCAUGAGUUUGUCAAACAGGCACACUUAUUAAAAAUGCAGAACCUGCAUAAUGAUGAAAGAAGGAAGCAGGAAAUGCAUGAAGUACUAUUAAGUAAGCUCCGUACUGGUGUAAAUUAUGGAACAAGUCCUUUAGAAAUAAUAAAUAAAGAUUUAUAAAAUGUU